GGGGAUGGAGCAUCGCUGGUGUGGUGUGCGGUCUUCAAAACCGUUGCGGGGCAGACUAGCUCUGUCCUGGGUGGGUUCGAUUCCCACGCGUCCCCGA
This 97-nucleotide transfer RNA is filed under the name Cyanobacteria bacterium SZAS-4. RNAcentral describes it as "tRNA-Sec". It matches the Rfam family "Selenocysteine transfer RNA". Lineage: Bacteria; Bacillati; Cyanobacteriota. The record is from RNAcentral.